Molecule: unclassified non-coding RNA, 22 nt
Filed under: Mus musculus (house mouse)
Lineage: Eukaryota; Metazoa; Chordata; Mammalia; Rodentia; Muridae
Description: oocyte_clustered_small_RNA11825
Source: RNAcentral
AGAUGCAACAGGACUCGGUGGA